GGAUGUGAGGGCAAGCUGGCUGUGACAUCUGUCACCCCAUUGAUCACCAGGGUUGAUUUGGCUGAUCUGGCUGGCUAGGCGGGUGUCCCCUUCCUCCCUCAAUGCCCUAUGUCCAUCCCUCCCAGAGCUACGCGCUCGGUCGAAGAGGAUGACCACCCCUGAUAGAGGAGGACCGUUUCUCGGUCAAGGGUAUAGCAGUAGCUGCACUCCCCUGCUAGAACCCCCAAACAAGCUCUCAAACAAAACAAAACAAAACAAAACAAAACAAAACAAAACAAAAACAAUAGAAAUU
This 292-nucleotide small nuclear RNA is filed under the name Chinchilla lanigera (long-tailed chinchilla). Its description in RNAcentral is "7SK RNA (ENSCLAG00000021640.1)". It matches the Rfam family "7SK RNA". Rfam says of the family: 7SK was discovered as an abundant small nuclear RNA in the mid-70s but a possible function has only recently been suggested. Two independent studies have found that 7SK RNA binds the CDK9/cyclin T complex (known as elongation factor P-TEFb). The record is from Rfam by way of RNAcentral. Lineage: Eukaryota; Metazoa; Chordata; Mammalia; Rodentia; Chinchillidae.